CGGCUCCCUGGACUCUGGGUGCCAGAUGGCAGUGAGUGACGCCUUUCCUGCCCGUUUUCCCUGCCAGCGUGCCACAACGCCUGGCUGCAAGCGGAGGAGAAGCUAUUUCCCAUCCAUCUCUGGAGUGCUCUGCACCGUCUGCGACCCGCAGGGCUCGGCCGGGCGCUCGAGGCGCUGCCUGAACAAGCAGCGUCCUUUGGAAGUGUGAAAAACCAGAAGCGAGGAGCGCGGGAUCAAUGGCGACAAGGAACCGGAGAGGCACCAAAUCAUCGGAGACGAGAGCUGGCCAAGCAGAGACAACCCUCUGAAGGUCAUGGAAAAUCUGCUGGAAAUGUCUGUACGGAGGGAUGGAGGAACUGUGGUUUUCCUUUGCAGUCAUGAGUCAUAGCAAGGUGUCUGAAGCAGAGGGGGAAGAAGACUUUUAAAAGCCACCGGCGAUGGGGACAGAGGGACUGACAGACCGUGGACACAUCUACCACCUCGGGGCGACGCUUUGGGUUGAAAUGUAGCUAAACCCUCUGGCUGAUUCUGAAAAAAAAUCUUCGUUUGUGCCACCAGCUGCUGUUGAAGCACCUGAAGGACUGACCCCUGCUCAACACCUAUGAAUGAUCCACCCCCGGGACGCCGAGCGUUGCCAGGUUGUGCACGCUGAAAGAAGGAAAAAAAAAAAGAAACCUGCUAAUUAUAGUCUGUAUUUCUUUGCACAGUAGAAUAAGUGCCUUCAUAGAAAGAGGCUCCUUCAUCCACUAAUUAUCCUUCGUCUUGGACUUACGGAGGGAGACUGGGAAAAAGCAGUAGCGCUUCUUCAUGCUUAAGUUGCCUUUUCUGGGAAAUCAGAGAGACACAGCGGGCUGGGGUGUGUUUGAUUGAGGGUGCUGUUGAUUUUGCCUCCUGUUUUCCGAUGGCCAACGGGAAGUUAUAAAACCCUGAAAUAACUUUGAUUUUCUUGGGGGGAACGCUCCGCUUCAGAGAGUACCGUUUCCUCGCAGCGCGACUACAGGAACGGUCUAGAAGCGAUGUGAAAUCUCAUUUCCUGUUAGUCAUGGACAAACCACACCCAAGUCAUCGUUUCCUGCUUGCCACAGGUUGGAAAUUUGUCAUUUUAAUGUGACUGGAGAUCCCGCCAGAGACCUGAGCCAUCACCAGACAGGGCUAAAUCCCCCAUGGGACUCUCCCCCGGCGGCGGCUUGGCCCCGGGCCCCUCUGUAACCCUGUAAUUCAUCUCAUUGUGGGCCUGGAAAAAAAUCCGAACAGCUCAAGGCAGGGAGGGGAGACGCUUCUUUCUUCCUUUGCUUUUUGACCAUCUAUUUUUGGAAGGUGCUCUGCUCCUCCGGCAGCGAGGCGGCUCAGCAGCGUUGCUGCUAUUUUCUGCUUUUCGUCACCUUUUCUCAGAUUCCCAAACAACUGCCACCUCCUUCCCCUGGGACGGAUGCAUUUUGGUGAUGGACAGAGGACCUCGGAGUCCAGAGAUGGGAAUUAAUAAUUUAGGUUAAAUCUGGGGGCUGUUUCAACAGUCUUGUUGUUGGAGACAUUCCUCACAGGGCUGGUUGCUGGCAGAAGUCCUGCGUGGCCCGAGUCCCCACUGACUGUGGCCAUGAAGAUCCACACGGCACCAGCCAAGAUGCCCCAAAGGCUUCAGAAAACCACCACAGAGACCUCCAAGCUUCAUCCUGAUCUCAACAUCUCCUGCAACAAUUUUGAAUCCUCUAGGGCUGCCCAUGGCUGGAAAUUAAGAGACAUCAGCAACGGGUGGUGCCCCAGCCUCAUGCACGGGCAUCGGGGCAGCCCAGCCCCCUGGGGACCCUCAGGGGAGGCAGGGGGAUGCUGUCACCUGUGGUGGCUGCGUCCCCUCUGCCCGAGCGUCGAGACGGGCUGGAUUCACAGCAGGAGCAAUAAUUUGCAGAGCGUAUGCCAAGCCAGGAGCAUCAAGGAUAAAUCACUCAUAACUGGGAAGAUGAUAA
Chroicocephalus ridibundus (black-headed gull) is the source of this 1961-nucleotide long non-coding RNA. RefSeq lists it as uncharacterized. Lineage: Eukaryota; Metazoa; Chordata; Aves; Charadriiformes; Laridae. The transcript is spliced from 3 exons. The record is from RefSeq and is a predicted model, not a curated record.